GAAUCCGGUUGAUCCUGCCGGACCCGACCGCUAUCGGGGUGGGGCUAAGCCAUGCGAGUCGUGCGCCCCGGGCUGGCGGGGCGCGGCGCACGGCUCAGUAACACGUGGCCAACCUACCCU
This 120-nucleotide ribosomal RNA is filed under the name Thermoprotei archaeon. RNAcentral's name for it is "partial 16S ribosomal RNA". It matches the Rfam family "Archaeal small subunit ribosomal RNA", at positions 1 to 115 of the family's 1478-position model. Lineage: Archaea; Thermoproteati; Thermoproteota; Thermoprotei. The record is from RNAcentral.